Molecule: ribosomal RNA, 246 nt
Filed under: Triticum aestivum (bread wheat)
Lineage: Eukaryota; Viridiplantae; Streptophyta; Magnoliopsida; Poales; Poaceae
Description: partial small subunit ribosomal RNA
Source: RNAcentral
CUUGCUUUUCCUUUGGUGUAUCAAGUUUUAAAGUUGGUGCUAGUUUUGCCGGUUGCCACAUCUUCAGCGGAGAGAUGCUUUUCAGGAAUGAAUAUUGUCAAGAAUGUAUUGCACAGCAAAAUGGGUGGCGAGUUCAUGAGUGAUUGCCUGAUUUCCUAUGUUAAGAAAGAUAUAUUUUCUACAAUUACAAAUUCUGCUAUGAUUGAUUUAUUUAAGAAGAUGAAAGACCGAGAAGGAAAGUUAUAA